RNAcentral lists this transfer RNA (74 nucleotides) under Parcubacteria group bacterium. RNAcentral's name for it is "tRNA-Lys". It matches the Rfam family "tRNA". Rfam says of the family: Transfer RNA (tRNA) molecules are approximately 80 nucleotides in length. Their secondary structure includes four short double-helical elements and three loops (D, anti-codon, and T loops). Further hydrogen bonds mediate the characteristic L-shaped molecular structure. tRNAs have two regions of fundamental functional importance: the anti-codon, which is responsible for specific mRNA codon recognition, and the 3' end, to which the tRNAs corresponding amino acid is attached (by aminoacyl-tRNA synthetases). tRNAs cope with the degeneracy of the genetic code in two manners: having more than one tRNA (with a specific anti-codon) for a particular amino acid; and 'wobble' base-pairing, i.e. permitting non-standard base-pairing at the 3rd anti-codon position. The record is from RNAcentral.
GCCCCGUUAGCUCAAUGGUCGAGCAGCUGGCUCUUAACCAGUUGAUGAGGGUUCGAUUCCCCCACGGGGUACAA